Molecule: non-coding RNA, 572 nt
Organism: Elaeis guineensis (African oil palm)
Lineage: Eukaryota; Viridiplantae; Streptophyta; Magnoliopsida; Arecales; Arecaceae
Source: RefSeq, a predicted model, not a curated record
CUUCAAAGAAAAUGUGUGUUGACUCCUUCCUAUCGCCAUUCCUUCUUAAUGCCUCCCUUCCUCCCUGUUCCAUCUCCACACCUCACUCCCUCUAGAUUAGAUCUAAGAGAAAGUCUUUAGAGAGAGAAAGAAAAAUCAAGAAAGGAUUCUUGAUUCUUUUUGAUGAUUGGGAUCAAUCUCUAGGAUUCAAUAACAGAGCUGCUUCAAGUAAUAUAAAAAAAAGAUCCUGAUUCAAGCCGAGGAAUGAAGCCUGCAAAGAAGCUAGCACUUCGAGGGCUUCGAAGUUCUGAUCGAAAUAUCUUCAUGUGGAUACCAGCAGAGAUCAGAAAUAUGCGCGGCUACGAUAGGAACUCUAAACAUCUACAGGAUCCGAUCUGAGAAAGAACAAGAAAAAAUGAUCAGAGAUGCAGGUUUGGAAAUUUAUAUGCCAGUCCUAUUGUAUCAGUCUUUGAGUUGAUCCAAGCAUCAAUACACAUAGCUCAUCGUCCUUUUCAUGAACCAAAGUAUAUCACCCAAUCAAUACUUAUAUUACUGUUUGUAUAAAGAUUUUAACAUUUUAUUAUUUGAUAAAA